UCUCCUUAUCAACUCUCAACUUUCAGCUCUCUCUCUCUCUCUCAAAGCCCUAAACGCCGAAUCGCCUCCUCCGGAUCUCAAUCAACCUGUGCGACAACCUUCAAUCCAUCUUAAACCCUGUCUCCCGCGAUUGCAAUCAUCUCAAUCAAGAUCUUUCAAAAUUCAAUCCAUCACUUAUGUCUCUCUCUCUCAUCCAGAUCUUUCAGCGAUGAAGAUGGACCGAUAAUCCUUAGUAUCUACAAUUCCGUAUCUUCAAGGAUUUGUGAGAGGGAGAUUUUAAAAAUAACAACUCAGAAUGAUUUUGUCAUCAUCGCCAAAAUCGCCGUCUUGGUUGAUGUCUGGGAACAAAUUUUGAUUUUCAAUUUUAGUCAGAAAGAAGGUAAUGAAAAGGAGCAAGAAGGGUUGGGAAGAUGAACAUAUUUGAAGAAACCCCCAAUUUUCUUUUCGAUUUCACUACUGCUGAAAUCGAAAAUUACUACCGUUGGAAUAUUUGUUUUCAUGAUUUAAUCCUUUUUACAAAAUAUCUCAAUCUCCGCGUCCAACUCAUCGUUCUAUGUCACCAACUCGAGGCACACGCUCCAGAUCGGUUAGCAAAUCCUUUUCUAAUUCCAGAAGUCAUUCAAGGUGUACUCUAUGGAAUGCGGAGUAUAGAAUCAUGUUAAUGAGGAACUUUGAAAUUUCUCCUUCUAAUGAUUCGAAAAGGCUAAAUCCUGGUGAGGAUAACGAACCUUCAGAGGAGAAGGUCGAGAAAGGUUAAUGUUCGUGUGACAAUGUCAUGAUGGAGUGUUGUACAGAAGAAUCAGAGAGAUUAUCGCUUCCAGUUUGUCCGCUUGAGUCGAAGAGAAGGACAAGAGACUUCCAAAUUCUCGGUACAUGGUUCAAGCCAUGGGAACUGGAUCUGGGCUCGGUAAGUCCAGUGAUUGGAAGUUUGUGAUUUUCUGAAUAACAAUGUUGUGCCCAAAACUGGAGGCCAUACUACAAAUACCAUGGAACGACCAACCUGUCAAAUGCACAAACCUCAAGGGGUCUUGGUUGCAUGGUGCUUUGCAGUUUUAUAUCAAGCUAAUUCUGUUGUUUGAACUACUGGUAUGGCAAAAUUCCAGGUUUCGAAAGUGAAACAAGUUACAAGAAACGUGUCAAUUUUUAGUGCUCGGCGACUACUGACUGAAACAUGGCGGGUCGAGUGGGUGGACUUGCAUGCAUGCAUGUUCUUAUUCAUUUUUCAAAAUUUAUUUUAUCGAUAGUUAUAAUUACAGAAACAAUUUUAUUUCAGUAGUAAUUAAUAUGCAGCUAAUGUGCUUUGAUGGACAACACAAGUUACGAGUUAUUACAAUUACUAGAUGAUGUGUAGAGAAUGCCACGGUAUCAAAGGUAAAAUAGUGAAGUCUUAAUCUAUUCAACUAUUUAUUUGUUCACUUAGAAUAGUAAAACCUUAAUUUAUUCAACUAUUUAUUGGUUCACUUAGAAUAGUUCUACAUAAAUCAUGAACAUCAUAUAUUUCUUUAUAUAGUAUUCUAAUAAGAUGUAAACAGUACUAUAAUUAAAAAAGCGCGCCUCAGGGGAAGGCCGUAGUGUGGGUGUAGAAAUUGCUUCACAACAUCAGAAGCGUAGCGAUCAUAUGAAGCCAUGGUGACUCUGGCUCUUUUUUUUUGUUUUUGCAUAAGGCGCCAUUUUGGGUUGCGAAAAGUCGCUUUCUGACUUCCUGUAUAAGCCGAGCUAGGUUGAGUCGGGCAAGAGUGGAGGCAGGUUGACUGGGGCAAGAAAGAAACAAAGAAAUGAUAAAAUGGCUUUCUAAUUCAUUAGGCCGAAGGACGAGAGAGAGAGAAAGAAGUUUGGAGUACAUGUUUGUGUGGGGCUGGUUUUUAAACUGAAUUAAGACAUGCAUUUAUCUAUGGUUUACUAUUAACCCAUGUGAAAAGUUAUUCUUUUAAUUUAUAUGAAAUUCCAACUAAUAUAUUAUUUAUAUAAUCAUUGCCAUGCGUUUUAAUAUCUUUGGUUUUAAACUUUAUCCAUACUAACAUUUACCUCUUUUAUGGUGAUAAUUUGACCAACGGAGCACAGGUAUUAAAACCCCUUUUAACUAACGUGUCUACUAUUCUAUUCUAAACACACACAAAGAGAAAGAGAAAGACAUGUUUCCACGACACAAUGCGGUAUAUGAUUGUCUUACUGAGAUGUCUAGAUAGUUCAAUCUUCAUACUGAGUUAUGUGUUUUUGUAGUGGUUUCUAUUGUGUUAUGUAAUGUUUUUUUUAGAGCCUAAAUUAUCUUUCGAUGGAUUAACUUGCUUCACAACUGAAUAUUGUUUCUGUUUUGUAAUUAGAGACACAAUUUGUUGAGAAUUUUGGGGUAAACGACAACAGCAAUUGGCCGAUUGAGACACUGUUUCCAACCAGAUUGGUCAUUGGGCAAGGUUACAGGUGGUGGUGUCGGCUUCCGGCUAAAAACCGUUAAUCCAGAGACCGCGUAAAAACACACACGUCAAGUCGCGAAUCAGGUUUGAUGGCGAUGAAAUCAGUGGAUUCGUCAAAACUAAAAACAAAUUCAAAAUAUUACCUAGGUUUAUUUUUUUGUAUGAUUUUGAAGGAAUUUUGAAAAUCAGCGGGUUCAUUUGUCACUAUUAUAUUACCCAGAAUCAAGAUGGAUUUAUGUGUUCUGCACAAUGAAUGAGUUUAAUAAUGGCGUCAACAUCAAACAAAAAGAACUGGGUUUCUUUUUAUCAAAAUCGACGAAUCUAAACACUCUUAAGAAACGUUGCCGCUUCGCUUACUUAAGAUGCGAUUUGAACGAGAAUCAAAGCAAGACUAUUGAAGGCGAUGAUGAACAGUCAAAUAAGGGGUUGCAAUCGAAAUCAGGAUUUUUGAAAAUCAGUACCCUCUUCUGAGCAACGAAGGGAUUACAUCCGGCCAACCGCGGAAUAAUAAGGUUACGGCGUUAAAGAACUUAGCGCGACAACAGUAACAAACAACAAUAACGGACAACGACAAUUGUGCGAGCGUCCGCGACGGUUUAAAUGAAGUAUUUUACUAUUCUUUAAUUUUGUAGGUUUUGAUCUUAUAUAAAUUGUUUGCAUUCAUCCGUUUGAUACCAUUUUAUGUUUUGAUCUCUACGUGUUUUGUGAUUCACUUUGAAUUUGUGGUAUUUCUAUUAAGAUCGUGGUCGCAAGUUUCUAAUUA
This is an RNA transcript of Helianthus annuus (common sunflower), 3174 nucleotides long. RefSeq lists it as uncharacterized. The record is from RefSeq and is a predicted model, not a curated record. The transcript has 9 exons. Lineage: Eukaryota; Viridiplantae; Streptophyta; Magnoliopsida; Asterales; Asteraceae.